UACGUAGGGAGCAAGCGUUGUUCGGAAUCAUUGGGCGUAAAGCGCGCGUAGGUGGCCCCGUAAGUCCGCUGUGAAAGUCAAAGGCUCAACCUUUGAAAGCCGGUGGAUACUGUGGGACUAGAGUACGGAAGAGGCGAGUGGAAUUCCUGGUGUAGCGGUGGAAUGCGCAGAUAUCAGGAGGAACACCAAUAGCGAAGGCAGCUCGCUGGGACGUUACUGACACUGAGGCGCGAAAGCGUGGGGAGCGAACAGG
RNAcentral lists this ribosomal RNA (253 nucleotides) under uncultured bacterium. Its description in RNAcentral is "partial 16S ribosomal RNA". It matches the Rfam family "Bacterial small subunit ribosomal RNA", at positions 524 to 776 of the family's 1533-position model. The record is from RNAcentral.